RNAcentral lists this unclassified non-coding RNA (372 nucleotides) under uncultured bacterium. RNAcentral's name for it is "contains 16S-23S intergenic spacer region". The record is from RNAcentral.
UCCGGUUUGACACCGGCAGUCUCCUAUGAGUCCCCAGCCGAACUGCUGGCAACAUAGGAUAGGGGUUGCGCUCGUUGCGGGACUUAACCCAACAUCUCACGACACGAGCUGACGACAGCCACGCAGCACCUUCCGGGCCGCCCCGAAGGGAAGGCCGGUUUCCCGGCCGGUCACCGCAGAUUUAGCCCAGGUAAGGUUCUUCGCGUUGCAUCGAAUUAAGCCACAUGCUCCACCGCUUGUGCGGGCCCCCGUCAAUUCCUUUGAGUUUCAUUCUUGCGAACGUACUCCCCAGGUGGUAUGCUUACUGCGUUAACUGCGUCGCUGCCCCCGAAGGGACAACAACUAGCAUACAUCGUUUACGGCGUGGACUAC